ACGCCACUGGUGCAGACCAGACACACGUUUUCACUCUUACUCCUUCCUCUCAAGGUUAAAUCCACAACACACUCACCACUAUACAAACAACUAUCCCCAGUAAACUACCCCGUAUCUCCUUUUCACACGACGAGAUUCUACUCCGCGUCGCACAGAUGGGGUACGAAGAGGAUGGAGAAGAAGUUGCAGAUGACGAUGAUGAUGAUGAUGAUGACGAGGGGAGGGAAGACGAGAUUUGGGAGCCCGAGGAAUUAUCCACAGUUGAACUCAGGUGGUUAAGUCGAGUGAUAUCUUUCUGUAUCAGAAGGCGGGAAGGUAUGGCAUUGGGACUCGUCGGAUAAAUUGAUGAGGAAAUGCCGUCAUUCGAUUUGUUAAGGGACGGUUGCUCUCGUUGCUGUUGCCAGUAUGAUGCAUAAAUAGGAUGAUGGAUAUGUCCGAUUUCUGGUGGAAAGUGAAGGGUGGUCACUCCAUGCGAUUCAGGUAAAUCUUUAUUUAGUUUCUCAUUAUCAUUGUCGUUGGCGUUAUGGGGGUAUCGUGGUAGGCUUGUAAGGCCGUCUUCGAGAGGAUGUUGUUUUCGCUUUUGUUCUUUGUGCUGGAUUUGCUGGCUUUGCUGAUGGACAUUAGGAUAUACUCCCGGUACUCCCCGCACUCUAGAAAAGGAGAUUGAACGGAAGACAUCUAUGUUGAAUGGAUCAAGUUUCCAUAGCCCUUGAGGUGUCGACAGUGUUUCUUCCCACGGCUCAUCACCAAAGGUGUGGUGUUGACAUAACGCUGACCAGACGAGGCAGAUUUCUAAAGAUAUCGAAUCACAUGUGAGCAACAGAACUAAGACAGAAACUAACAUAAACGACAUACCGUCAAUAUCAUUUACAAGGAAGUUGAGGGCGGCGGCAUCCUCCAUGUAGAACGUAUCUCUCCUAUAGUUGCUAGACAAGGGCGGGAGGAGAUGAAAAUGGUACCAAAGAAACGAAACAAUCAACACAGAGACGCUUGCUCCAACAAACUUCUGUUGCAUAUUUGAAGCUACCUCAACGCCAUUCUCCUAUGGAGGAAAGAAUGUGACUUAGACAAGGAUGACUGAUAAUGGUUUCGUGAUAAUAAAAAGAGC
RNAcentral lists this small RNA (1108 nucleotides) under Histoplasma capsulatum. RNAcentral's name for it is "hypothetical RNA". The record is from RNAcentral. Lineage: Eukaryota; Fungi; Ascomycota; Eurotiomycetes; Onygenales; Ajellomycetaceae. RNAcentral also lists the same sequence under 1 other name.